UUAGCCUUGCAGGUGUUAUAGCAAGUCAUUAUAGAAAGUUCUCACGAACAAAUCCACUUGAUCUCACGAGGGUGUUAUAUUAACUGUGCUACGCGAAGGAAUUAUUGUUUCAAAUAUUUUCAAUAAUAGAAAAUAGGCAAAAUGACAAUUUUCUAUAGAAUAAUUUUUCGGAAGCGAUAAAAAUUGCUAAAGGCAGGAGAUUUGGUGCUCAACGCGGGAGAGCGGGAGAAGGGGUCUAAAAUCUUGAGACUCCCGCCUUAUGCGGGAGAGUUGACAGGUAUGUAAAAGCCCUAAAAAUUCCAAGGAUUUCCUAGCAUAAGCGAAACCAGAAAAUCGGAAGAAUUUGGAUUGGAAAUCUUAGGAAUCCUAAAGAAGAAGAUUUGAAGCAUUCUGUAAUUUAGUAACUAUUUCUUACGAAAUAAUAAUAGAACAUUUUCAUCACCAGAACAGGCCUCACCAUACUACCACACCAUCUAUUGUGAGCUAUACUACAACAAUAAGAAACGUGAUAUAUAAUGUGGUGUGCUUUUUUCAGAAUUAGUACUGCAUUGAAAAGAAGGAUUUGAAGAGGGUGAUAAUUGAUAAGAAUUUUUAGAAGUUUUAAUGCUACUUGAGAUAAUAAAAAAAAGAAGUCCAGCUUUGCAGAUACGAUAGAAGGCGGCUCAGCAGGGCCCGCCGUAAAACCAAAAUGUGCCGGGCCUCCUUUGCUUUAGUGGCCGAGAGGAGUUUGGGCCCAAGGCGCAAAGCCAUAACGGUCAAACGAACGCCAUUAUAAUAGUCUCCAAACAGAUAGCCGUUUAUGCCCGUCUCUUCUACGCGUAAUCUACCUAUUUCAAGGAUUUGAUGUGCAGAAUAUUGAUUGAAGUUAAAGGCUAUAUGAUAGAGAAAGCUAAAUGUGCUCGAGUUGCAAAGCCAGGAAAUAAAGAAAUUUGAGGUACAAGGAAUGUAUCAAUAGGUAAAUCGCUAGAAUCGAAUUUUAAGCUUAAAACUUUGUAAAUUGAUUCACUGACAUACUUAAGUUCUUGAAGUACAUUAUGAUGAAGCGCCUAUAUCUUUAUAAACUGUUGCUAAAAGCACACACUUGCCUAAUUUUGCUUAGUAAAAUCUAAUCUUGCACCUAAAGUUUGUCCAGAUAUUUUUUAUAUUCUGAUCACAGUAAAACCCUGCAUAUGCAGAAACUAGUUCAUCUUUUCAAGCUAUCGUGCUAGGUUCGAAUUUAAAUGUUGCCUAUCGAGAAUAAAGGCUUCUAGCUUCUUAUCUGAUAAUGCUAAAGAUAUUUUACUUAUUCUACUGUAGCUGGUACUGUAACCGAGGCACUGGCACUGCUUGAAUCGGAAAUUUAGUCCUUUUAAACAGUAGAACUCUUCUUAACGGGACUCCAUAUACUUAAUAUAUUAGUUAUGCUGGCAUACAUGGGACUGAUUUUUAAAGUCCAGGAUUUUGCACAAAUAGACAAUAAUCACAGGCUGUGUAUGUGCUACUGUAUGUUUGUGAUGCACCUAAACUUUGAAUAAAAAGAAUCUUUAAUGUU
Molecule: long non-coding RNA, 1531 nt
Organism: Nematostella vectensis (starlet sea anemone)
Lineage: Eukaryota; Metazoa; Cnidaria; Anthozoa; Actiniaria; Edwardsiidae
Exons: 2
Source: RefSeq, a predicted model, not a curated record